RNAcentral lists this ribosomal RNA (253 nucleotides) under uncultured bacterium. Its description in RNAcentral is "partial 16S ribosomal RNA". It matches the Rfam family "Bacterial small subunit ribosomal RNA", at positions 524 to 776 of the family's 1533-position model. The record is from RNAcentral.
UACAGAGGUCCCAACCGUUGUUCGGAUUCAUUGGGCGUAAAGGGUGCGUAGGCGGCGGGGCAAGUCAGGUGUGAAAUCUCGGGGCUCAACCCCGAAACUGCACUUGAUACUGCCUUGCUCGAGUACUGGAGAGGAGACUGGAAUUUACGGUGUAGCAGUGAAAUGCGUAGAUAUCGUAAGGAAGACCAGUGGCGAAGGCGAGUCUCUGGACAGUUCCUGACGCUGAGGCACGAAGGUCAGGGGAGCAAACGGG